Molecule: non-coding RNA, 4657 nt
Organism: Macaca mulatta (Rhesus monkey)
Lineage: Eukaryota; Metazoa; Chordata; Mammalia; Primates; Cercopithecidae
Source: RefSeq, a predicted model, not a curated record
AGUGUUUUCUACCACAUCUGCCACCCACUCUUUUUCUCUUGCAGAAGCUGUUUUGGGUGAUACACAAUAACUAAAUAUAUUCAUAUAUAUUCCAGCAGUUAUGUUUACAAACAGAUACAAUUGCUUGGCAAUUUGGUUUGUUAUUUCUGGAUUAAAUCUUAUUAAUUACCUUUUUUUUAAGUAUAAAUUUAAACACAAAUUGUCUCACAGAUCACCUUCCUUGUUUUAAUAACUAUGAGUCUCCAUAAUCAUAUUGCAUGAGACUCAUCGUUAUAUUUAUGCCGGUAAAUACUGGAAAAAAUAUAAGACAUGUUCUUUAAUACUGAGUUAUGGUAACAAUAGCAAACAUUUAAUUAGUGCUUACUAUGAGCAAGGUGCUUUAAUCCUCACAAGAACACUCUGAGGUAGGUAAUAUCCUCAUUCCAAGUUUAUCAAUGAGAAGAGUAAAGCUCAGAUAGGUUAAAUAAAUUUCCCAGUCACGUAGCUAAUAAGCGAUGGAUAUGAAACUGGUAUUCUAAUCUGUUUGCUCUCAAAGUCAGUACUCUUAAGCCAUACGUGUUUUAUCAUUUGGUAAUUCUGCACAUAGACAGUAUUUCUUUCUUGUUUAAGUUGGCUGGAAGCUAUAUAUUAAGAAAUAAAUCAUUGUGGAUGAGAGUGGACUUUUGUAAUCAAAUUCUCUUACACAGUAUUACUGAUGAAUAUUACUGAUAGUAUGUAAUUUUGUUCAUUCCCCCUUUUGCUAUGGAACUUCUCCAAUGGGUCCUAAAUGUGGAUUCACUUCACCAUAGCAGGUCACAGCUGCCUGAGCAAGCUGGAACUUCCGCCACCUGCAUCCCUGGCUCGGAUGCCCUGAAGUGGCCUGUUUUACUUGUAGUCAGAGACAGCAUCCGGAGAGAGUCCCUUUUGCUAUUCCUUGGGAUACCUCCUUCUUAUUCAGCGGACAGUUCCUCUUACAUUUCCUCCUUUAUAUUGAGUUUUCCUUUAUUGCCCUGUGCUAAACCCCAGGCACUGCAGUGAGAUCACUAGCCAAACAAUUCAUGGGGAUCUUCUUAAAUGCUAUGUACGAUAAACAAGAACAGACAGGCCCACAAGACUAGCAGGCACCAGCCAAGAAGGAAAUUCUGAACAGCAUUCUGUCUUCUGACAUUCUUGUUUCUAGUCUUGAAUAUGGUAAAAGAACACAGGUUUAGGAAUUAGGACUUUAGUACUAAGGGUGCCAGUAAAUUCUUAUGGAACUGCAAAUUAUUUAAUCACUCCAGGCACCAAUUUUCUCAUUUGUAAAACAGAGAAAAAAGUUAUUUCCCAGCUUUACUUCACAGGGUUGAGAUGAUUAAAUAUCUUAGAGUAUUUUGAAAACUAGAAGGCACCACACAAAUAAAAUGUGGAAGCAUAUGGUAUUUCCAUGCAGCACAUUAAUACAAGCAUAACAAUGGGGCUUGUAGGAAAUGGAAUCAGUGUCCAGGGACUGUGCAUUUGCACAUUCCUUCUAUGCAAGAAGAUCCUGAUGACUAUAGGAAUUAAGACUGAGAACAGGUUCUAGGGAAAUUUGGCCUUUUCUCUCUAAUCUUUGUAGCAUGACAUUUUGUUUACGGGUUUGGUUUUCAGCUCAGUGGACUGCAGGCCUCUCUGUGAAGUUUCUGCUCCUAGGAUAAAAGCAAAAGGUACACACUAAUACUUCCAAAUUUAAAAUAUGAGUCUUAAGCUAUUGUCAAUGGCAAGAAAGAGAUCCCAAAGAACAACACUUUUAAAUGUUCUAGUUUGGGGUAUCUAGUUUAGGAUAAGCUUUUUGUGAUAAGCAGAGUUUUAAAAUGCCUCUCUGCCCCACCCCACUUCAAGAUUUCCUGCCCUAAUCUUUGAGACUGUGAGUAUAAUGAACUAUCAUGCCUGCUAUUACGAAUGUACUUAAUAUUGCUAAUCAGUUGACUUUGAGUUAGUCAGAAGGGAGUUAAUCAGACCCAGGUAGGUCUAGUCUAAUCAAUUACUUGUGCCCUUUAAAUGCAGAGAAUUUCCUCUGGUGGGCAGCAAAAAAGGAAGUCAGAGAGAUUCCAAGUAAGAGAUGGAUUCAACAUGGCCCUGCUAUCUUAGAAGGUGGAGGGGUCACAUGGCAAAGCAUGCAGGUGGCCUCUGGAAGCUGAGAGUGGCCUCAGCCAAUAGCAAUCAAGGAAGCUUCUAUUUCCAUCUUAACAACUGCAAGGAACUAAAUCCUGCCAAUAAUCAGAAGGAGCUUAGAAGUGAAUUCUUCCCCAGAUCUUCUAGUUUUCGUAAGAGAUACUCAAUUUGUGAUUCAAGACUGUUUCAGUGUAUCAAAUAGGUUUUAAAAAGAAAACAUAUUCGUACACCCAAAGAAUGUUUUGUGGCAAACGAGAGCUUUCUCUUCCUAGAAGAGUGUCUCCUUAGAUUAGCAAAGAGGCUUCAGUGAUUUGCAAACUGGCAGGGCUGCUGAAACACCAUUCUGUCAACUGAUCCUCUAAGAGUGAAAGAAAAUAAAACAGUAAAAGAAGCACUACGGUGAACUUAUGUCUAAUCAACACAAGAAGUGAAUAGCUAAGUGGCAGCUGGAGGAACUGUGGGAGAAAGUGGACUUAUCGUCGCUGAGUUUGUUAUAACUGAGUCAAACAGGUAUCCGGACUUAACGAAGCAAAUUUCAAAAAGGUUAUGUUUCAAGUAUAUUAUCGAGGGCAUUUAUAUUUUUGAGGUGAGGUUGGAUAAAGUUAUUUAUAAAUUCUAGAUUCUGUGAUUUGGUGACUCAGUACUCAAUUACUAUCUGCUUCUUGGAGGUUACCUACUGGUUAACAUAUCUUUGAUUAGUACACAUAUAAAUGCUGAAUAUCUUUAUAUAUCUUAAGAAAAUUAAAUUGUAAUAUUACAUAUAUUCAGUUUAUUAAAUAUGACAUAAAUAUCAAAGUAUGAAUUGAAGGUAUCCUUGAAUUGUGACAGCUUCUAUUUUACAAUGCUUCUGUGACCCUGGACAUUUCCCUCAACUCUUGAUGCCUGAAUCUUCCUUAUUACCUGAGGAAAACAGUCUAGGUCCUUAAUACUUGCCCAAAUAGUUUUACAGGGACCGUGUGAAAACACUUUGAGAUAUAUGCAGUGAUAUAUAAAGUUCCUCAUAUAAACAAUCCAAUUGCUUCCUUGUUUUGCUCAAUACUUUAUUUGAACUUCCUACUGCUCAGUAAUAAAUGACAGAGCGCAUCAGAAGCUAUACUGGAAUGUCGUUUAAACGAAAUAUAGUUUUCAUACAUAUUUUUAAAUAAUUAUUUUUAAGUACAAUACUGUGCUGUAGUGUUCCUACCAUUCAUGAGUUAAAUAACAUGUGAAAUUAGAGAUUCUUAGGAUAUUCUUAAUGGUGUCUGAGCUUAUUCCAUGGUGCAGCUUUGCACCCGUCAUGCACUUGGUUACCACACAGGCCUAACGAAAUGCAUUGUAGUGUCAGCCUUUAGAAGGCCAAGUGGCACACAGGAGCUCGUAUUGAUCAACUAAGUGCAUUGGCUACUGGGCUGGUCCACGUGUUCCAAGCCUUAGUCUAACUGACCCAUGAGAAAGAACAUACUUUGUUUUCUCUGGCUAAUUUUCAUCUUAUUAUAAAUCACUGCUGCUGUGUAAGGAAAAAAUAGGCUUUUAAAAUUUAGCCCUGCCUGUGUCAUUUUCCCUACUAAUCUUCUUUGUGUUUGAGAGAUGUAUAGAAUCUUAUUGGGAUAAGGAAGGGAACUACAGACAGAUGGGCUGUCAGGCUGGGUAAGUAAAAAUGUACAGAGAGGCCUGACUGGUAAUAUCUUCCAGUGGAAGCCGUGUUCUUGAGUAAAUUAUUUAGAAUUUACAUAUAAAUGAUCUCCUUGUGGUCAGUUUUCCAUCUGUGAUCUGACAGCUUGUAGAUGCACAUUUAGUAUGCUUUUAAAAUGCCACCAUUUUACAUUUGAAACAUGUCCAUGUCAAAUGAAAGCAUAGAUCUCCCCAUUCUUUAACUUCCUCUAAAUUCUCCUUACUAAUGGAUAACUAGAGAACUUGUUUAUUGCAUCUGCUUUGUAAGAGGGGUGAUGCCUGUUACUGAAAGUCACUCAAAAGAGAAUUUAGCAUUUCUUGAUGGUUAUAAUUGUAGUAUAUGUUCUGCAUGUCUGUUGGUCUCUCUAUAUAUCUCUACAUUAUCUUCAAGCUUUGACAAAACAACCCUUCUUACAUGAAGGCUAUAUGAUUUAUGCUUGCAAUAUAAUGUAAACAAGCAUUUUUAAAUUGUGGAGAUAGGAUGGUUCAUUUUAAAUUCGGUUCAUUUCAAUAUAAUAGUCCACACUGUGAACGUUUUUGGAUUCAGAGUAAUCAUGAACUUGGAAUUCUUUGGGAAAUGAUAAAUAUACAAGACUCUGAGUUUAACAUUCUCCAAGAGAAUGUACUUGGUAGAGUUCUUUUAUUGUUAUGCUUAAUCCAUGUCUUUUGACUGAUCUAAUAAUAGAGGAAAUUAAUCUCCUAAAAUUUUGAUUAUGCUUUUGAAGUUUCCAAUUUUUACAUUAAUUUCAUCACUGAUCUAUCAUUCUCUCUUAUUAUUACAAAACUGUGUUCACAUUAAAUUCACUUUUUUUUUUAAAUUUGAGAUGGAGUCUCACUCUGUACCUUUGCCUCCCAAGUUCAAGCAAUUCUCCUGCCUCAGCCACCAGAGUAGCUAGGA